UACGUAGGGGGCAAGCGUUGUCCGGAAUCAUUGGGCGUAAAGCGCGUGUAGGCGGUUCAGUAAGUCUGCUGUGAAAGUCCAGGGCUCAACCCUGGGAUGCCGGUGGAUACUGCUGGGCUAGAGUACGGAAGAGGCGAGUGGAAUUCCGGGUGUAGUGGUGAAAUGCGUAGAGAUCCGGAGGAACACCAGUGGCGAAGGCGACACGCUGGGCCGUACCUGACACUGAUGCGCGACAGCAUGGGGAGCAAACAGG
Molecule: ribosomal RNA, 253 nt
Filed under: uncultured bacterium
Lineage: Bacteria
Description: partial 16S ribosomal RNA
Rfam family: Bacterial small subunit ribosomal RNA
Source: RNAcentral